Molecule: non-coding RNA, 207 nt
Organism: Cinara cedri
Lineage: Eukaryota; Metazoa; Arthropoda; Insecta; Hemiptera; Aphididae
Source: the annotation of a GenBank genome assembly
CAUUAAGUAUCUACCUAUUCAAUUUAUGGAAAUAAGCAUAAAACAAAAAGCAAGUUUUCAUAUAAAAUUGUUACCGUGUAGUGUGUAUCUAUUACAUUAAAAAUACAUUUACCCAAAUCACCGAGUAAAUCCACAUUAAUCACUAAUUACAAGUAAAAUAUCAAUGGGAUAUCAAUGUUAAUCAUGAUGAAUUUUACCUAAUUUACC